UUCAGUAUAGCUCCAUUUUAUUGGUGACAAAAUUUGAGUCAGUUUCAGAAAGAGAAGCUCUCUUCUAUUUCCUAAGAUCUCUCUUCUGCAAGUAUGUGUUUCAUAUUCUCUUGUUAUCCUCUCUUCAGAACAGCCUUUUAGGUGAUAAUAUUGAUGGAGUGUAACUACAAAGAUGAAGUGUUUUAUGAGCAGAAUAGCAGCAAUCUGACUUAAAGCAAUUUCCGCCCAAUGGUCUGUGAUGCCCGAGUCGAAGUUACAUCAUAUUGCUGGCACAUAACCAGUUUGCAAAAAAAUACCUUUUCCAGAUGUCUUUUCCAAAGCGUUAUGCUAAGAAUAAUGAACUUAAACAACAGGAAGGCAGAUUCCAACUGAAUAUUAUAAAAUAUAUCCUAACACUAUGAAGUGAAAUAAAUUAUUGAAGGAGCUGAUGGAUUCUUUUCACUGGAUGUUUUUAAGCAGAACAGAGGCUAAUAACUUCUCUCUGGUAUGGUUUAAUAGUGUAUGUGUUCUGAACUGAACAGGGUUUGGGUGGAUUGGCCUAAAUGUUAACCUUCCAGCUCUGAUUCAGAAUGAGUUUCUCUUAUGCAAUUUAGCAUAUUUAAAUAAUGCUUGGCAAAAUACAUGUAAAGGCACCUGGCUUGCUGGGUUUUUUCCCCCUGCUAAUUUAGGACAUUUGAAAAGAUUCAUUAUCCACAACCAUUCUGUAGGUUAUAUACGCAGGAUUGUGAACUCUAAAACCAAUUCAAAUGAAGAUAUAAAUACUGCUG
Long non-coding RNA from Ahaetulla prasina, 767 nucleotides. RefSeq lists it as uncharacterized. NCBI's taxonomy places the organism in Eukaryota, Metazoa, Chordata, Lepidosauria, Squamata, Colubridae. The transcript has 3 exons. The record is from RefSeq and is a predicted model, not a curated record.